UUCACUUGGUUCUCGUGUGUUGGUAGGAGCACACGUAAAAGUUUGUAGCCUAACUAACCAAAGAAGAUGCAAUUUACUUAAAAUAUUAGUUAAUUUGGCUUUAAUGGCACCUUUUUUACCUCAUCUUGACAUGAUUUGGUAAUUUCUUGUCAGGAUGCCCAAGAAAUUACCAUUUGAUUGGAAACUUAGCGAGGUUUUUAAUUUUCCGGUUUUCUUUUAGUCUCCAUUUUCUUUUUUUCCUUCUUCGAUUGCUUCGCCUUGAAGGUGUGAUGGUGUUGAAUUCUGUGAUGCUCCACGAGUGACUCCAGAACAGCCUGUUUUCUCUACAAGGAGAACCAAGACUUCAUGCAGCCAGUUGAAUUGGUGAGACUUUAUGUAGAUGAAGAUCAGGUAAAUUAAGACCAGUUUUCUUUAUAUUUUUUUAUCUAAUAAUUCAAUCUGUUUAAUUGAGAGUGACUAGUAGAAUAUGGACAUCUGGCCGAAGCCCAUAUAACCUGGAUUCUGUGUUCAUGUCCUGCUCGUUAUAAAAAUUUUCAUAAUUAAAUUUAACCUGUGGUAUUCA
Anthonomus grandis grandis is the source of this 562-nucleotide long non-coding RNA. RefSeq lists it as uncharacterized. The record is from RefSeq and is a predicted model, not a curated record. Lineage: Eukaryota; Metazoa; Arthropoda; Insecta; Coleoptera; Curculionidae. The transcript has 2 exons.